AAGGGGCAAUGCCAUGGCGGCGAGAACGGCUCCAAAUCGUUCUGCGGUGGGUUCGAUUCCCACGCCCCUUGCCA
Molecule: transfer RNA, 74 nt
Filed under: Paenibacillus sp. P26
Lineage: Bacteria; Bacillati; Bacillota; Bacilli; Caryophanales; Paenibacillaceae
Also listed under: 1 other name
Description: tRNA-Trp
Source: RNAcentral